Molecule: long non-coding RNA, 294 nt
Organism: Pseudophryne corroboree (corroboree frog)
Lineage: Eukaryota; Metazoa; Chordata; Amphibia; Anura; Myobatrachidae
Exons: 3
Source: RefSeq, a predicted model, not a curated record
GUACUUAUUCCUUCCUUGAUUCCAGGAGCUGCCUUCUUGGAUCCUUGAUCAGCAUGAAAAGAGGGAGCCUGCCUGGCAUUCCUGGUCUUUUGUACCUCCCAGGAUCUUCAGUAAAAGAUGCUGAGGUUGGAGAUCCAAAUUGCCCAAUCCGUUUAUGCCUGCAGCGGCCGGAGGAGCACAUACAGGGCGUCCUCGCAGAAAUAAAUGUGCUGCCAAAUAUUUUUGGUUGAUUUUGUUUUUUGUUAACAACAAAUUUAUUAUUUUUUACAAAAAGUAAACAAAUAUCUCAAAACA